Molecule: long non-coding RNA, 1037 nt
Organism: Bubalus bubalis (water buffalo)
Lineage: Eukaryota; Metazoa; Chordata; Mammalia; Artiodactyla; Bovidae
Exons: 4
Source: RefSeq, a predicted model, not a curated record
GGCCUCACCUGGAUCACCUUCUUAAAGGGACAGGAGGGCAGGAAGGAAACUUGUAAAACAGGCCAUAAACUUCAAAAAAACCGGAGGCGCCUUGACCGGAACGAGACUGCGGGCGCCGCCUAGUGGGUGGGAUUGGGAAUCGACUUGGCUCCGUGCUCCUUUGGACCCUAAACCCAUCCCUGUCUCCAACCGGCCUUUGGCCUAACUACACCCUGGUGUCCCCUCCCUUCUCCCUUUCUUCAGGGCCCAGCGCUGUAAUAGACACCGGCAGGGGGAAAGCAGGGUAAAGAGACACGUCUUGAUGUUCCCGUCGGGGAGGCUUAGGUGACCAUCUUGCAAGGCGAGGUUGGUUGGAAGCAAGUCCGGGCGGGGGCUCGGUAGAUAAGGACAGGAGGAAAAUGGCUCAUAAUUUCCUGGCCCAGGCUAGCCUCAUUGGCAUAAAUAAAUAAAUGGAAUCCAAGUACAUUGGUUGGAAAAUUCACAUGGAACAGAAAAGAAACCAAACGGAAAAAGGUGGUGCAGAAGCUGUGAGCCUCCAUCGCAUUACAGCAAGGGCCACAGAGGAGCGCAAACUUGAAGAAUGGAUAGUAGCAGCCACCAAGAAGGAAGUUGGAUUGUUUCUGGUGCUGAUGGGAGAGACAAAGCUUCAGUUCAGGACACACAAAAGAGCAGAAACCAAAUUGUCUAGGCGGUGCUGGCUGGGCAGAAGGAAAGACCAUUAUUUGCAAGUGUCUGUUGAUAAAAGCUGGGGAGAGAGGCUUCCCCAUGCUUUUACCUUCUUACUGCGAAGCUGCCGUCUCUGGACCGAGUCUCUGAAGCAAGACUGAGGACCUACGAAGCCAAAGUGUCAGCAUGGUUUCUUUUCCUUUUCUUUCUUUCUGCCACUCCUCCCUCCGUCCCUUCUUUCUUUCUUUUCAAAUAAUUCUCGGAAAGUGCUAUUUGUGAGACCAAAGUUAAGAGCUAUGCUCAUUAUCCUGGGUGCUUAAAUUAAAAAAUUCCUGUAUGUUUUUGACAGGCACUGAGGGUUACUGGAAGGG